ACACGCAUGACACACUGCAUAUCAAUAAGCGGAGGAAAAGAAACUAACUAGGAUUCCCUCAGUAACGGCGAGUGAAGCGGGAAGAGCUCAAAUUUGAAAUCUUCAAGGUUCUACCUUGACGAAUUGUAGUUUAAAGAAGUGUUUUCUGUUGGAGUUUUGGUAAAAGUUCUUUGGAAUAGGACAUCAUAGAGGGUGAGAAUCCCGUAUUUGACCGUUAUUUUCAGCUGUGUGAUACACUUUCAAAGAGUCGGAUUGUUUGGGAAUGCAGUCCAAAAUGGGUGGUAAAUUUCAUCUAAAGCUAAAUAUUGGCGAGAGACCGAUAGCGAACAAGUACCGUGAGGGAAAGAUGAAAAGAACUUUGAAAAGAGAGUUAAACAGUACGUGAAAUUGUCAAAAGGGAAGCGUUUGACACCAGUGUUGUUUUCUCGAAAAUCAAUUAAAAAUGGCUUGAUUUUGUGUUGUAUUGACCUUAAAAGCUUUCUUCACUUUUUUCAUGUCUUUUUUAAUGCACUUUUCGUUUAACAAGUCAACAUCAGUUUCUUUUGUUGUAAAAAGGUCAUUGGAAGGUGGCUUUCUUUUCGGAGAAAGUGUUUAUAGCCUUUGACUUCUGCAAUCGGAGAGACUGAGGUCUGCAGCGUAGAUCCUUCUGGAUUAGAUUCAUUUGUGCUAAGUUACAACCGUUUAUAGACAACUUGUUGACUAUAUUCGAUCCUGUAGCUUACUCGCUUAUGUAAUUUUACCUACGCUUAGGAUGUUGAAGAUGUAGCACAUCAU
RNAcentral lists this ribosomal RNA (774 nucleotides) under uncultured Neocallimastigales. RNAcentral describes it as "partial large subunit ribosomal RNA". It matches the Rfam family "Eukaryotic large subunit ribosomal RNA", at positions 23 to 635 of the family's 3401-position model. The record is from RNAcentral. Lineage: Eukaryota; Fungi; Neocallimastigomycota; Neocallimastigomycetes; Neocallimastigales.